UGAACUGGACCAGGAGGAAGAGGGCU
RNAcentral lists this non-coding RNA (26 nucleotides) under Mus musculus (house mouse). Lineage: Eukaryota; Metazoa; Chordata; Mammalia; Rodentia; Muridae. The record is from RNAcentral.